Molecule: long non-coding RNA, 2023 nt
Organism: Myotis daubentonii (Daubenton's bat)
Lineage: Eukaryota; Metazoa; Chordata; Mammalia; Chiroptera; Vespertilionidae
Exons: 4
Source: RefSeq, a predicted model, not a curated record
CGUCUCUGCGCGCGGGGCAGUUCGUCCCCAUUCCCUAGUAGGCGCUUCAGGCUGGGAGCUGAGCGAGGGGCUUAAUGCCUGCCCCGGAGAAAGGAGUGGGUUAAAUGUCCUCGCACCCAUAACUAGCAGGCUCUUCUCCGAGGCUGGGCCCACUGCGGGCGUGAGACGGAGGAAGAGGCGAGGCCCAGGCGGAAAGGUCGAUGCUCAACCAGUGAGCCACACUGGCUGGGCUGAAUGACAUCUUGAUUGCAGCCUUCUGAGAGUCCCAGAGCCAGAACGACCAUCAACUAAGCUGAUCCUAUAUUCUACAGACACUAUAAGGAGAGCUUGCUAAUUCAAGUUGAAGCAUUAACCGUCCUCCUGAAAACACUCAAGCCAAUGAGGUAACAAAGGCCCAGAAGACAAAAAUUAAGCAAAGCAAGUUCUUGAAAACUCUUACAACCCCAAUUUAAGAAAAAUAAAGAAGCAGGAAAGAAAUUAGAAAAAGGCACAUGACAGCAUAUGAGCUUUGACCAAAAGAAUGCAGCCGAAGUGACACUGUGAGACUUCUGACCCAGGCCUCAGGAUGCUUUCUGGCUUCCCUGAGACUGUCAUGUGAAACAACCUCAUCUAGCCUCCUGGAGAUUAAGAGGGACAGAGGAGCAGGUGAACCAUCCCAUCUGAAGCCUCUUAAAUCAACCAGCUGACAGCUAGCUUCUGCCAUCUAUCAGCAGAGGUCAUCUUAAACCAUCUAGAUCCAGUCAAGCUGCCCAAUGAUUAUAGCCACUAAGUGACCCCAGGCAAGGCCAGCAGAAGAGUCACACAGAUGAAUCUAGGCCAUUGCUGACCCACAGAAUCAUGAGCAAAAAUAGUUGUUUUAAGCCACUAAAUUUUGGGGCAGUUUGUUAUGCAACAAAAUCUAACUUAUAUAGGAGGUUACCCCCAGGAAGUAUAGAAAUAGGGGGAGUAAAAAAGAAAGGAGAAAUGUUAAUAAAGGACGGUUUAAGGAGCAGGUCAAUAUUGUGGGCAAUUGAAGCUGGAUCCUCUCUAAGGAAUCUUGUAGAAGGCAUCUCAGAAUUGUCCCACCCAGGAAGAGAGAAGCUGGGUUAUUUAUCCAGUAACUCCCUUCCCAUUCCUCACUGUUGAUGGAGAAAUCCCCAAGACAGAGAAACAGAGGUUAGGAGGGCAGAACUGCCACCAAGCUGCAAGUAAGCUCAGAAGUAGGCCAAGGUACAGUGGGACAGCGCAUCAAUAGCCUCUGCUAACUCCCCACACCCAAAUCUCACCCAAUUUAGAAAGUGGCAACCCCAUCCUCCUGUUGCUCAAUCUAGAAACUUCAUCCUUGGACUCAUCAAUUUCUUUCACACUCCACACUAAAAUCCUUUUAUUGUUAUGUUAAAAAUAUAUCCAGAAUCUGGAUAUUUCUCACUAUCUCCUCCACUACAACUCUAGUCCAAGCCACCAUCAUCUUUCUCUUGGAUUAUUGCAAACACCUAUGGCACCCUAUGUAACAAGAGUGGCCAUUUAAAACACAAGUCCCUCUUCAGUUCUCAUCCCUCCCAGAGCUUCCCAUUACAUCUAUAUAAUAAAAGCCUAAGCGACUGUUAAGGUGGAAUGACAGAACGACUGGUCGCUAUGAUGCGCACUGACCACCAUGGUUUUCAGGAACAUAACUCAAUGCAGGAGCUGCCCCCUGGUGGUCAGUGUGCUCCCACAUGGGAAAGUUGGAGAGCAGUGGAACUAACAGCACAGCAAUAUGAAAUAUUGGUUCAGAGUCUCCUUGCAAGAGAAAGAAAAGCUGAGGCAGAAUACAGUUGCUCUCUACUCCUGUGAGAAUAAAACAAAUUUACAAAAUCUCAUUAUAACUAUGGGAGAAAGAGAAGUUCUAAAAAUUUCUUGACAAGCAAGGCAUAACAAAGAAAAUGAAUUGCAUGAUACUCAUUGUUAAAGAUGUAUAUAUUUGUCCAUAAUGCCAAUGAUAUACCUGUAUUUAGUGGGCUGUUUUAUAUUAGUGAACAUCUUUAAUAAAGUGUACUUUGGCUUU